Molecule: ribosomal RNA, 1013 nt
Filed under: Ibacus chacei
Lineage: Eukaryota; Metazoa; Arthropoda; Malacostraca; Decapoda; Scyllaridae
Description: eukaryotic LSU rRNA
Rfam family: Eukaryotic large subunit ribosomal RNA
Source: RNAcentral
ACCAAACGUCGAGUUAAGGGGCCUAAACGAAUGCUCAUUCAGAUCCCAUCGAAAGGUGUUGGUUGCUAUAGACAGCAGGACGGUGGCCAUGGAAGUUGGAAUCCGCUAAGGAGUGUGUAACAACUCACCUGCCGAAGCAACUAGCCCUUAAAAUGGUAUGGCGCUAAAGCAUUCUCCCGAUACUCGACCGCCGGGGCAUUACCGACCGAACGAGCGGCCUYAUCAUCAUYAGGUCGUUCAGGUCUCGAAGCCCCGGCGAGUAGGAGGGUCGYGGUGGUGUGCGCUGAAGGGUUCGGCGUGAGCCGGCCUGGAGCCUCCACCRGUGCAGAUCUUGGUGGUAGUAGCAAAUAAUCGAGAGAGACUCCCUUGAAGGCCGAAGUGGAGAAGGGUUCCAUGUGAACAUCAGUUGGACAUGGGUUAGUCGCUCCUAAGCCCAAGGCGAAAGCCUGAUCCCACGUGAGAGGCAACGACCACACGAAGACGAUGAUUGAUUGAGUCGGUCACUACUGAGGCAGGCAGGCAGGGCUGAUCUGGUAGUCAGGAAUGCUCGUCCGUCCGUAGUAGACCUUCAUGUAUAACAGUUGCCAGAGGGAUUAGUGGCGAAAGGGAAUACGGUCAUUAUUCCGUAACCAGGACCCGGAUACCUAGCAGGUGUAAGCGCCCUUGCCUCCGGGCAGGGGAAUGCUGCCCUGUGCAGGACCCCGGUAACGGGAACCAGCUCGCGUCCGUCGGCGGUGGUCCGGGAAAGAGUUUUCUUUUCUGUUUAAGGCGCCGUGACCCUGGAAGCCAUUCGCGGAGAGAAAGGGUGCUUGUAACACGGUAAGCCGUAGAGCGCCGCGGUUCUUGCGGCGUCCCGCGCGCCACCGCCGGCCCGUGAAACAUGCGAGGGAGGUAACUGAGGUAAAGCGGACUCGACCAAAGUCCGCGACGCCUACUUUCGGGCCAGUGCGUACCCAUAUCCGCAGCCGGUCUCCGAGGUAAGAAGCCUCUGGUCGAUAGAUUAAUGUAGGUAA